GAAAAUAUACAUUAGUAAAGACGAGCGUAGGGGUCCGCCUCGUCGGCAGUGAUGGAGGUAACAGGGAAAAGAAUAGAGGUAAGAGAAAGAAUAGAGGGCAGAAAAGAGCCGUCGCGUUCCUUUAAAAAUAAAUGUACAUUAGUAAAGCCGAGCGUAGGGGUCCGCCUCGCUGGCAGUGAUAGAGGUAACAGAGAAAAGAAAUAAAUGUACAUAGUAAAGCCGAGCGUAGGGGUCCGCCUCGCUGGCAUAGAUAGAGGUAACAGAGAAAAGAAAUAAAUGUACAUAGUAAAGCCGAGCGUAGGGGUCCGCCUCGUUGGCAUUGAAAGAGGUAACAGAGAAAAGAAAUAAAUGUACAUAGUAAAGCCGAGCGUAGGGGUCCGCCUCGCUGGCAUUGAUAGAGGUAACGGAGAAAAGAAAUAAAUGUACACAGUAAAGCCGAGCGUAGGGGUCCGCCUCGCUGGCAUUGAAAGAGGUAACAGAGAAAAGAAAUAAAUGUACACAGUAAAGCCGAGCGUAGGGGUCCGCCUCGCUGGCAUAGAUAGAGGUAACAGAGAAAAGAAAUAAAUGUACACAGUAAAGCCGAGCGUAGGGGUCCGCCUCGCUGGCAUAGAUAGAGGUAACAGAGAAAAGAAAUAAAUGUACAUAGUAAAGCCGAGCGUAGGGGUCCGCCUCACUGGCAUUGAAAGAGGUAACAGAGAAAAUAAAUAAAUGUACAUAGUAAAGCCGAGCGUAGGGGUCCGCCUCGCUGGCAUUGAUAGAGGUAACGGAGAAAAGAAAUAAAUGUACACAGUAAAGCCGAGCGUAGGGGUCCGCCUCGCUGGCAUUGAAAGAGGUAACAGAGAAAAGAAAUAAAUGUACACAGUAAAGCCGAGCGUAGGGGUCCGCCUCGCUGGCAUAGAUAGAGGUAACAGAGAAAAGAAAUAAAUGUACACAGUAAAGCCGAGCGUAGGGGUCCGCCUCGCUGGCAUAGAUAGAGGUAACAGAGAAAAGAAAUAAAUGUACAUAGUAAAGCCGAGCGUAGGGGUCCGCCUCGCUGGCAUUGAAAGAGGUAACAGAGAAAGAAAUAAAUGUACAUAGUAAAGCCGAGCGUAGGGGUCCGCCUCGCUGGCAUUGAAAGAGGUAACAGAGAAAGAAAUAAAUGUACAUAGUAAAGCCGAGCGUAGGGGUCCGCCUCGCUGGCAUUGAUAGAGGUAACAGAGAAAAGAAAUAAAUGUACAUAGUAAAGCCGAGCGUAGGGGUCCGCCUCGCUGGCAUUGAAAGAGGUAACAGAGAAAAGAAAUAAAUGUACAUAGUAAAGCCGAGCGUAGGGGUCCGCCUCGCUGGCAUUGAUAGAGGUAACAGAGAAAAGAAUCGAUGUAAAGGAAAGAAUAGAGGGCAGAAAAGAGAGCCAUCGCCUUCCUUCAUGGUAAAAGUACGUAGUAAAGCCGGGCGUAGGGUUCCGCCUCGCCGGCUGGAAUCGAGGAAACAAUUAAUCAAAUUGAGGGAACAAUAAAUUAAAAUCUGUGAAACAAUGAAAUAAGAUUAAGGGAACAAUGAAAUAAAUUGAGGGAACAACAAAAAUAAAGGAAACAAUGAAUACAAAUGAGGAAUCGAAUUAAAGGAAACAAUAAAGUAAAUAGAGGGAAACAACAAAUUAAAUCUAAAUGUGGAUUAGAAUGACGGAACGAAGAGUAAAUCGAGGGAACAAUAAAUUAGAGGGAACAAUAAAAUAAAUCAAACAUUGAAAUAGAUCGGGAAUAGUGGAAUAAAUCGAGGAAACAGAUUAAAUAGAGGGAACGAUAAAAUAAAUCGAACAGAGAAAAAGAUCGAGGGAACUGAGAAAUAGACCGAGGUAACAAUGAGCAGAGGGAAACAAAUAAAUAGAGGGAACAAUAAAUUCAAACGAACAAGAAAUAAAUCGAGGGAACUGAGAAAUAGACCUAGGUAACUAUUAAAUAGAGGGAACGAUAAAUUAAAUCGAACGAAGGAACUGAGAAAUAGACCGAGCCAACACUGAGAAGAAACGAUUAAAUUGAACAGAGAAAUAGAUCGAGGGAACUGAGAAAAAGACCGAGCUAACAAUGAGCAGAGGGAAACAAUUAAAUAGGGGAACUAUGAAUUAAAUCAAACGGAGACAUAGAUCGAGGAAACAGUGAAAGAUUGAGAACGUGAAAUAAAUUAAGGGAAAAUUAAUAAAGGGAACAAUUAAAUAAAUAGAGGGAACAAAAAAUUAAAUAGAGGAAACAAUAAAUUAAAUGGAGGGAACAAUAAAUAAAGUUGAACAGUGAAACAGAUCCAGGGAAGGAUGAAUAAAUCAAGUAAAUAAUACAUUAAAUAGAGGGAGCAAUAAAAUAAAUCAAGGGAAGAAUACAUUUAAUAGAGGAAAUUAUAAAUUAAACCGAGGGAACCAUGUAUUAAUUUGAUAUUAGAUCGGUCUCACCGGCAGGGAGGGAGGGUGGCCGCGCUGUCUAAGAGCCAAGCAAUCGCGCUGGGAGACGCCUGCGCUGAACCAGGGAU
Long non-coding RNA from Astyanax mexicanus (Mexican tetra), 2496 nucleotides. RefSeq lists it as uncharacterized. The record is from RefSeq and is a predicted model, not a curated record. The transcript has 6 exons. Lineage: Eukaryota; Metazoa; Chordata; Actinopteri; Characiformes; Acestrorhamphidae.